AGACGUCUACAUUAGACUACCCGGUAGUCCCAGCCGUAAACUAUGCGCGUUAGGUGUAUCGGUGACCACGAGUUACCGAGGUGCCGAAGGGAACCGUGAAACGUGCCGCCUGGGAAGUACGGUCGCAAGGCUGAAACUUAAAGGAAUUGGCGGGGAGCACCACAACAGGUGGAGCCUGCGGUUUAAUUGGACUCAACGCCGGGAAGCUCACCGGAUAGGACAGCAGAAUGAUUGCCGGGCUGAAGACCCUGCAUGACUAGCUG
This 263-nucleotide ribosomal RNA is filed under the name uncultured archaeon. Its description in RNAcentral is "partial 16S ribosomal RNA". It matches the Rfam family "Archaeal small subunit ribosomal RNA", at positions 717 to 982 of the family's 1478-position model. The record is from RNAcentral.